AGGCCUGUCACUGAGUCCCUAAUGUGAAUACUGUGGUCUGGCUUCCUCAGAGACUCUCACUCACCAGGAAAAGAUGUGGUUAGAAGUUAUGACGAGGAAGAGAAAGAAAGGAAUAACAGAAUAGGGAUUGAGGAAAUUAAGGUUCAGUGAAGUUAAGUAAUUGGCUCAAAGUCUCACAUCUAGCAAGGGGAGCCUGGAUUCAAGUCUAGCAAGUGGACCCUGGGGCUCACUGAUUUCAGAGGCCAACCCUGUCUCCUCUACGCUCAUGGAACAAAGGUGCUGGGAGAAAGCCAGUUUUCCAGGAAACUACUACUGCUUUAUCAACAAGAACCACUACUGUGAAGAAAUGGCAAAGAGAUGGAAAGUUGGGUUGCUUAGCACUUUGGCUAAAGUGUUUGGGAAGCAUAUGGAAACCCAAAACUAACCAGAGGUUAUGGCAUUACUUGUGAAUAUCUCUUCUCCCUGCUAUUCUCCUCCCCUGAGCACAAACUAUGUUCAUGAUGUAAGGACCACUUGAAAAUCCAUCCCAGCAUUUUCAGCUCAGAUUCAGAACUAACUGCCAACUGCCAACUGCCAACUGGUCUGCCCCAAUGGAACUAACAGAAGCUGCCAAUGGCCCUGCCCUGACCUCAUUGGGCAGAACAUCUUUCCUCUGAUACCACCUCGCUCCUGUCUUGGAGCAGGAGGUCCUCUCAUGUGCAGUCUAAGUUCGAAAGCAAGAAGGCAGCUGAGGCUUGUCCUUCUUUCUCAUCCCACUGUCUGUUUCAAUAUCAUAAUGAGUGUCUGUGAAGAGCUGCUGGCAGGGUCAGAAGCCAAGAAGAGGGCAUGCAAAGGAAUUAAAACCCUUGGGGUGGGGGGUGAGGAUCAACUGUUCCCUGGCCACAACCAGCAUCAAAAAGUACUACAACUUUUAGGGCUGAAAUGGUAGAAGCCAGUGAAGUCACAGAAAUGUAUUUGUUAGACAGACCCAGCUAGUGCAAGUGGAAAAGACAUGGAAAGCAUAAAUCACUGCACAAGUUUAGAGAUCAGUACCUUUCAGAAGGUGGUGAGUGGUGGAAGUUCCUGGAGUCUCUGUAUGCAAAGAGUGAAAUUAGCAGAAGGAAGGCCCUAGGAUUCAGGGUUUCUUUAUGGUAAUAUCAGAGACAUCCAGAGGAUGGAGACAAACCCAGAUCAUAACAAUGUUACCCUGAGAAUUUCUUUCUGGUUUCUGGCUUCAGAUUUAAGGUUAUGGUUGGUCGGUGAUUGUGUACAUUUACAGGUAUGCAUGUGUACAUAUCUGCCUUGGACUGUUGGAAGAUUUCCUCUGGGCUGAAGAUUGCUAGCUAGGUUAGAAUGUCAAGGAAGGUUACAGUUGCUUUUUCUCCACAUUGCCAAGAGGUUGGACUUCCAUAAAACACUAGUGGAUGUUUACCACAGUGUAGAGGCAAAGGCAGUGGAUUUACAUUUUAAUCUUGGCCCUGCCAAGCCUGAGUGCUCUAGGAGGAGCCAUUUAACAUUUCCGACUGUGCUCUAGAGAGUAAGCUAUCCUGCUGGAUGCUUUUACUGAUUAAGAGGGAGAAUAGCCAGAAAAAGACAUGUAAACUGUAAGAGCGAUUCUUACCUUCCAGUGGUGAUGGUGAUGGAUGAUCUUUACACUCCUGGGGUAUUGCUGCACAUCCUUGUCUAGAGCAAUUGUACACACAGAUAAUCCUUCCAGCUUUAGGAUCCU
Phyllostomus hastatus (greater spear-nosed bat) is the source of this 1708-nucleotide long non-coding RNA. RefSeq lists it as uncharacterized. The record is from RefSeq and is a predicted model, not a curated record. Lineage: Eukaryota; Metazoa; Chordata; Mammalia; Chiroptera; Phyllostomidae. The transcript is spliced from 4 exons.